RNAcentral lists this ribosomal RNA (500 nucleotides) under uncultured cyanobacterium. RNAcentral's name for it is "bacterial SSU rRNA". It matches the Rfam family "Bacterial small subunit ribosomal RNA", at positions 355 to 868 of the family's 1533-position model. Lineage: Bacteria; Bacillati; Cyanobacteriota. The record is from RNAcentral.
GGUGGAAUUUUCCGCAAUGGGCGCAAGCCUGACGGAGCAAGACCGCGUGAGGGAAGAAGGUCUGUGGAUUGUAAACCUCUUUUGAUAGGGAAGAAGACAGUGACGGUACCUAUCGAAUCAGCCUCGGCUAACUCCGUGCCAGCAGCCGCGGUAAUACGGAGGAGGCAAGCGUUAUCCGGAAUUAUUGGGCGUAAAGAGUCCGUAGGUGGGUCACCAAGUCAGUUGUUAAAUAGUGAAGCUUAACUUCAUAGAGGCGACUGAAACUGGUGGUCUAGAGUGUGGUAGGGGUAGAGGGAAUUUCCAGUGUAGCGGUGAAAUGCGUAGAUAUUGGAAAGAACACCGGUGGCGAAAGCGCUCUACUGGGCCUGCACUGACACUGAGGGACGAAAGCUAGGGGAGCGAAAGGGAUUAGAUACCCCUGUAGUCCUAGCCGUAAACGAUGGAUACUAGGCGUUGCCCGUAUCGACCCGGGCAGUGUCGUAGCCAACGCGUUAAGUAUC